RNAcentral lists this ribosomal RNA (498 nucleotides) under uncultured bacterium. RNAcentral describes it as "partial 16S ribosomal RNA". It matches the Rfam family "Bacterial small subunit ribosomal RNA", at positions 30 to 523 of the family's 1533-position model. The record is from RNAcentral.
AUUGAACGCUGGCGGCAUGCUAUACACAUGCAAGUCGAACGGUAACAGGUCUUCGGAUGCUGACGAGUGGCGAACGGGUGAGUAAUACAUCGGAACGUGCCUAAUAGUGGGGGAUAACUACUCGAAAGAGUAGCUAAUACCGCAUGAGAUCUACGGAUGAAAGCAGGGGACCUUCGGGCCUUGUGCUACUAGAGCGGCUGAUGGCAGAUUAGGUAGUUGGUGGGGUAAAGGCUUACCAAGCCUGCGAUCUGUAGCUGGUCUGAGAGGACGACCAGCCACACUGGGACUGAGACACGGCCCAGACUCCUACGGGAGGCAGCAGUGGGGAAUUUUGGACAAUGGGCGAAAGCCUGAUCCAGCAAUGCCGCGUGCAGGAUGAAGGCCCUCGGGUUGUAAACUGCUUUUGUACGGAACGAAAAGCCUGGGGCUAAUAUCCCCGGGUCAUGACGGUACCGUAAGAAUAAGCACCGGCUAACUACGUGCCAGCCGCCGCGGUAA